AUGACAUUCACCGACGAGUACAAGGGCGACAACGCCGUGGAGGCGCACGGCAACAACAAGUUGCACGUCAUCCACACCAACGACAAGAAGCAGAUGGUGAUCACCCUCGCGCAGACGCAUGCAGUAGAACACACGAGAAUCAUGGCGGAUGCACGUCUCUGCAACCAGCGCUGCAAGUACACCAGGGAGCUCCACGACAUCCACCUCCACAGCAAUCACAAGCUCCACGUCCUUUGCACAAGCAAGGGCAAAGACGUGGACAAGAUGUUGUCCAUGUUCAGGAGGAAGCUCGGCGGAAUGCCCGUCAAACUAGUUGGCGUUGAUGUCGAGUACACACACUACGAGAAGCCACAGCGUGCAGCGGUACUACAGCUAUGCGUAGAAAAAGAAUGCCUUGUCUACCACAUAUCUGCAGCUAAAGACAGGCCAAUGGAACUAGACAAAUUCCUGAUGAAUGAUGAGUACACCUUCGUCGGAUUCGCUAUUGAAGGAGACAAAAGCAAGCUGAAGGUAUCUGGUUUGGAGAUCAACUCCAACAACUACAUUGAUAUUCAGGUGGAAUGGAGAGACCCAUACAAUAAAAAGAAGUUUGACUCUUUGGCUGAUGUUGCUGGCAGGAUGAUAGACAUUCACUACAAUGAUAUGAAGAAAAAAAUUAACCGCAAGGAGGACCAUACUCUCUGGGGAUUUUGCCCACUGCCAGACAAGCUUAUCAAGUAUGCAGCAAUAGAUGCAUUCGCAACAUAUGAGUCAUGGAGAAUCAUCUACGAUGUCAUAAUGGUACUGGACAGGGCAAAAAGAGACAAAGAAGAAAAGAAGAAGAAGAACAAGGCUGUAAUCCAAUACAACAACUAG
RNAcentral lists this ribosomal RNA (855 nucleotides) under Triticum aestivum (bread wheat). Its description in RNAcentral is "partial small subunit ribosomal RNA". Lineage: Eukaryota; Viridiplantae; Streptophyta; Magnoliopsida; Poales; Poaceae. The record is from RNAcentral.